Molecule: ribosomal RNA, 497 nt
Filed under: uncultured bacterium
Lineage: Bacteria
Description: partial 16S ribosomal RNA
Rfam family: Bacterial small subunit ribosomal RNA
Source: RNAcentral
GAUGAACGCUGGCGGCGUGCCUAAUACAUGCAAGUCGAGCGAACAGAUGAGGAGCUUGCUCCUCUGACGUUAGCGGCGGACGGGUGAGUAACACGUGGAUAACCUACCUAUAAGACUGGGAUAACUUCGGGAAACCGGAGCUAAUACCGGAUAAUAUAUUGAACCGCAUGGUUCAAUAGUGAAAGACGGUUUUGCUGUCACUUAUAGAUGGAUCCGCGCCGCAUUAGCUAGUUGGUAAGGUAUCGGCUUACCAAGGCGACGAUGCGUAGCCGACCUGAGAGGGUGAUCGGCCACACUGGAACUGAGACACGGUCCAGACUCCUACGGGAGGCAGCAGUAGGGAAUCUUCCGCAAAGGGCGAAAGCCUGACGGAGCAACGCCGCGUGAGUGAUGAAGGUCUUCGGAUCGUAAAACUCUGUUAUUAGGGAAGAACAAAUGUGUAAGUAACUAUGCACGUCUUGACGGUACCUAAUCAGAAAGCCACGGCUAACUACGUG